UAUCUAUUCCCAAACUCAACAGGGAGAGUAAA
RNAcentral lists this non-coding RNA (32 nucleotides) under Mus musculus (house mouse). Lineage: Eukaryota; Metazoa; Chordata; Mammalia; Rodentia; Muridae. The record is from RNAcentral.